GGUAUCUACAAAUCAAUAAUUGAAUUAGAGGAUACAAAUGUGCAGUUUAUCCUCAGAAAUCCUUUGGUUUUUCACAUUAAGCUACAGGUAUUCUAUUGAGUGAUUGGGCAGAGUGGUAAUAUUUUAUAAG
Non-coding RNA from Erythranthe guttata (spotted monkey flower), 130 nucleotides. The record is from RefSeq and is a predicted model, not a curated record. Lineage: Eukaryota; Viridiplantae; Streptophyta; Magnoliopsida; Lamiales; Phrymaceae.